GUUGAGGUCUAUCCCGAUGGGGCUUUUCCCAUAGACCCACAUCGUUGGAAACGCCUCAUAGAGUAACUGUGUGGUUUUGCUUUACUCACAGAACUAUGCCUUGGUAUCUGUGGGAAGGAACUACAAAACAGCA
RNAcentral lists this small nucleolar RNA (133 nucleotides) under Procavia capensis (Cape rock hyrax). Lineage: Eukaryota; Metazoa; Chordata; Mammalia; Hyracoidea; Procaviidae. The record is from RNAcentral.